GGGGAUGACAGGCUUCGACAGGGAACAUUGGACGGAGAUCGCAAGCCGAGGUGCUCCACCUCGAAAAACAGGGGCAACCUAACAAUAAACGGCGAGCAUCAACUCGCUCUGGCUGCGUAAGCAGCCACGCUCCCCCGGCCUCGCUCUGGCGGGUCGGGAUCGAGUGUCAUAAGGCUGGAGUGCGCCGGUCUGGACGCCGAUAGGGUCCGGCAAAGGGGGAAACCCGGCAUCGGCUAGCUGUCGAGGUACUCGGUCGGCAGGAGGGCCUCGGGGGCGAAAAAGCCAAAACGCCGAAUAAGCUUGUAGAAGUCUUCGGCCUAAUUCUCUGGACGCGGGUUCGAUUCCCGCCAUCUCCACUC
Molecule: transfer-messenger RNA, 359 nt
Filed under: Anaerolineae bacterium
Lineage: Bacteria; Bacillati; Chloroflexota; Anaerolineae
Rfam family: transfer-messenger RNA
About the family: Bacterial tmRNA, also known as 10Sa RNA or SsrA, is named for its dual tRNA and mRNA-like properties. Its role is to liberate the mRNA from a stalled ribosome.
Source: RNAcentral